RNAcentral lists this ribosomal RNA (581 nucleotides) under Pichia cabralensis. Its description in RNAcentral is "eukaryotic LSU rRNA". It matches the Rfam family "Eukaryotic large subunit ribosomal RNA", at positions 45 to 657 of the family's 3401-position model. The record is from RNAcentral. Lineage: Eukaryota; Fungi; Ascomycota; Pichiomycetes; Pichiales; Pichiaceae.
AAAAAGCGGAGGAAAAGAAACCAACAGGGAUUGCCCCAGUAACGGCGAGUGAAGCGGCAAGAGCUCAGAUUUGAAAUCGCCUCGGCGAGUUGUAAAUUGCAGGUUGGAGCCUCUGCGGCGCACGUAGUCUAAGUCCCUUGGAACAGGGCGCCAUUGAGGGUGAGAGCCCCGUGAGACUUCGUGCCAAGCUGUGAGGCCCUUCUGACGAGUCGAGUUGUUUGGGAAUGCAGCUCUAAGCGGGUGGUAAAUUCCAUCUAAGGCUAAAUAUUGGCGAGAGACUGAUAGCGAACAAGUACUGUGAAGGAAACGUGAAAAGCACUUUGAAAAGAGAGUGAAACAGCACGUGAAAUUGUUGAAAGGGAAGGGUAUUUUGCUCGACAUGGGGAUUGCGCAUCUCUGCUCCUUGUGGGCGGGGCGCUGUGCUUUUCCUGGGCCAGCAUCAGUUUUUGCUGCAGGAGAAUGGCCGGGAGAACGUGGCUCCUCGGAGUGUUAUAGCUCCCGGCAGAUGCUGCGUGCGGGGACUGAGGACUGCGACAUCUGUCAAGGAUGCUGGCAUAACGCCGAAAUACCGCCCGUCUUGA